This 1659-nucleotide long non-coding RNA is filed under the name Sorghum bicolor (sorghum). RNAcentral's name for it is "long non-coding RNA (SBIC_LNC001269)". Lineage: Eukaryota; Viridiplantae; Streptophyta; Magnoliopsida; Poales; Poaceae. The record is from RNAcentral.
CAAUCAGUAGGCCAGAAGCUAGCUUGGGGGAGGACCCCCAAUCCCGAGGUUAUCUGCAUUGCAUAUUUAUUUUUAUGCAUCCUUAAUUUUAAAUUAGCAUGUUUACUUUAUGAAAUUUUCGUUAGUUAAAUUCAUGUUUUAAUUAUUGCAUAUAAAAAAAUGAAAAAUGCUAAAAAGACAAAAAUAUAAUUCCACUCUUAUAUGUGAUGUAAGAUAUAUGCUUCUUCCUUGUUGAAAUGAUGAAUAGUUGCUCUAUCGUAAUUUCUUUCCAGUAUCUAGUUUCAACCUUGAAUUCUCCAAAUUAAUAAAAUGAUUAAAUGCGUGGGUUGCAAAAUGCUCUAUCUAAUGUCUAAAGUAAUUAAUGGAUAUAUUUGUGAUGAUCUGAGCUGCUAGUAUCCUGUUCUAAACAACGCUAGAGUUCUGGAGUUUUUACAAUAAUAAAAUAAUCACAUUGAGUUAGAUUAAGCUUUGUUGACCCUUUGAGAGGUUGUCAUACCAUUGAAAACAAAAAUAUUUCAUUAUGUUAUCAUCUCAAAAGUUUGUUAGAAGGCAUAUGGCUAUGAAAAAAAAGCAUCCGAGAAAAUAAAAUGGGACAUGUGUCCGAAACCUCAAAAAGAAAGAUCACGAGGAAAUAAAAAGGGACAUGUGUCCGGAACCUCGAAAAAAUAAAAAAAAAUGGGCAAGUGCCCAACAGUAGAAUUAGCCACAUAGCCUAAACUCUUUCUCUUUGGAAAAGAAAAAGUUUUCAAAAAUUCAAUGGUAUGAUUAACUUUCUCUUUGGAUCCAUUGUUUAAUUUGACAAAUAAAUGUGCUAAGUUUUGAAAAUCAAAAAACUCCGGAACAAAAGUAAAGUAAAGAACUAGGGAUAUAGCGCUCGAUCUGAUCAAAUCCAUCCUGCAAAUGCUUAAGGACUCGAGGUAUGAGCAAUAAGCCCCAUGACACAUCUAUUCAAAAUUCAAAGGAGAAUUCUUGUUUGAUGGUAUGUACUGGAUAGAAGUGAAAAUAUUGUAGCAACUCCUCAUCAACAACCAAGAUCUUAGCUUCUUGCUCGAGGACGAGCAAGGGGUAAGCUUGGGGGAGUUUGUUGGCGGUUCUUAAUGACAUAUUUACCCCGCCAACAUAGUCCAUGCAAAGGAAGAAAAGCAUGUAUUUUACUCACAUAUACUUAUUAAAUGCUUACCAAGUUCCACAUGUAGUGCAAGUUGUGUUUUGCAGAUCAUAUACAGGCAUACAGGUGGAAAGCAAAUAAAAAGGCGCAAUCCGACACGUCAAAAAAAUGUGCAAAUAAGUACCCAAAAGCCCAAUAUAGAAGUGCAUCAAUUUGCAGGUGGAUCUGGACUCAGGGGCCCGAGAGGAAGGCAACGGGCUUCGAGCCAGGUCCAGCGGGGCCCACCAGGGGGCGGCCGCCCCCUAGGGUCGGCCGACCCUGACCCAGCCCAUCUCGGCACCGCCUUUCACAGAGGCGGUGCUGAGCCUAUCCUCCCGCAGUCCCCGCGUGCAAAUUGCAGUUUACACCCUGGGGAACCGACCUUCCCCACCUAUUUAAGGAGGGGGAGAGGGAGGCUCCAUUCAUCUCAUCACAUUCACAAUCAACACUCCACCUUCAAGGCACUUGGGCACUACCUCUUCUUAGUUUUUCCUUUUAGCUUUUAGAGAGAG